AUCACUUCUCAGCCUUUUGGCUAAGAUCAAGUGUAGAAUCUGUUCUUAUUGGAUUUUUACACUGCAAGUUUUAGAAGGAGGUCAAGGGUAACCUUAUGUGCAGCAGUACAUUUACAGCAUUUAGCUGACACUUU
This is a small nuclear RNA of Electrophorus electricus (electric eel), 134 nucleotides long. Its record names the gene U2. It matches the Rfam family "U2 spliceosomal RNA". From Rfam's summary of the family: U2 is a small nuclear RNA (snRNA) component of the spliceosome (involved in pre-mRNA splicing). Complementary binding between U2 snRNA (in an area lying towards the 5' end but 3' to hairpin I) and the branchpoint sequence (BPS) of the intron results the bulging out of an unpaired adenosine, on the BPS, which initiates a nucleophilic attack at the intronic 5' splice site, thus starting the first of two transesterification reactions that mediate splicing. NCBI's taxonomy places the organism in Eukaryota, Metazoa, Chordata, Actinopteri, Gymnotiformes, Gymnotidae. The record is from Ensembl.